RNAcentral lists this ribosomal RNA (468 nucleotides) under uncultured bacterium. RNAcentral describes it as "partial 16S ribosomal RNA". It matches the Rfam family "Bacterial small subunit ribosomal RNA", at positions 28 to 507 of the family's 1533-position model. The record is from RNAcentral.
GACGAACGCUGGCGGCGUGCUUAACACAUGCGAGUCGAACGGAAAGGCCCUGCUUUUGUGGGGUGCUCGAGUGGCGAACGGGUGAGUAACACGUGAGUAACCUGCCCUUGACUUUGGGAUAACUUCAGGAAACUGGGGCUAAUACCGGAUAGGAGCUCCUGCUGCAUGGUGGGGGUUGGAAAGUUUCGGCGGUUGGGGAUGGACUCGCGGCUUAUCAGCUGGUUGGUGGGGUAGUGGCUUACCAAGGCUUUGACGGGUAGCCGGCCUGAGAGGGUGACCGGCCACAUUGGGACUGAGAUACGGCCCAGACUCCUACGGGAGGCAGCAGUGGGGAAUAUUGCACAAUGGGCGGAAGCCUGAUGCAGCAACGCCGCGUGCGGGAUGACGGCCUUCGGGUUGUAAACCGCUUUCGCCUGUGACGAAGCGUGAGUGACGGUAAUGGGUAAAGAAGCACCGGCUAACUACGUG